This 462-nucleotide ribosomal RNA is filed under the name uncultured Planctomycetaceae bacterium. Its description in RNAcentral is "partial 16S ribosomal RNA". Lineage: Bacteria; Pseudomonadati; Planctomycetota; Planctomycetia; Planctomycetales; Planctomycetaceae. The record is from RNAcentral.
GACUACCGGGGUAUCUAAUCCCGUUCGCUCCCCCAGCUUUCGUGCCUCAGCGUCAGAAGAGACCCAGUGAGCCGCUUUCGCCACAGGUGUUCCUUGUAAUAUCAACGCAUUUCACCGCUCCACCACAAGUUCCGCUCACCUCUGUCUCCCUCUAGCCCUGCAGUAUUGGGCGCAAUUCCUCGGUUGAGCCGAGGGAUUUCACACCCAACUUACAGGGCCGCCUACGCACCCUUUAAGCCCAGUAAUUCCGAAUAACGUUUGGACGGUUCGUCUUACCGCGGCUGCUGGCACGAACUUAGCCCGUCCUUCCUCUGAAGAUAGGUCAACACAUGGAGAGAACCCCAUGUGAUUUCCUCCCAACUGACAGCGGUUUACAACCCGAAGGCCUUCAUCCCGCACGCGGCGUCGCUCGGUCAGACUUUCGUCCAUUGCCGAAGAUUCUCGACUGCAGCCCCCCGUAGG